This 31-nucleotide non-coding RNA is filed under the name Homo sapiens (human). Lineage: Eukaryota; Metazoa; Chordata; Mammalia; Primates; Hominidae. The record is from RNAcentral.
UGCCAUGCUUUCAGACGCAAGAAAUAGCUCC